Molecule: long non-coding RNA, 3865 nt
Filed under: Nicotiana tabacum (common tobacco)
Lineage: Eukaryota; Viridiplantae; Streptophyta; Magnoliopsida; Solanales; Solanaceae
Description: long non-coding RNA (NTAB_LNC000344)
Source: RNAcentral
UCUACUACACCUUGGCAAUCCAGGCCACCCUCCCUAAGCCAAUCAAACUCCACAACGUCACCCGUCCCAAUUUACUCACAAAACAAACACAGCCCAUCUAGCUCGUUGAUUCAUAUCGUCAACAGACCAUGAAUUAUCGUGUUAUUCCAUUUAUUUUUAAAAGCUCGUCUCAUUUUAUCUCUGCCAUUGGAUCACAAGAAUCUAACGGCCAUCGAUUUUUUCCCAUAAAUUAUUUUAAAACUCCUAACUCUCAAAAUAUCAGAGUCGUUGAUCAAAUAAUCCAAUGGCUCCCGUUCCAUCUCUUGUUUUAAUCCCUAGAGAUGACUAACUCCAACACCAAACCCUAAUUCAUUUCCCUUGCUGACCCAGCCGCCACCUUUCCUUUUCCUCUCUCUAUUCUCUCUAAUCCCUGACCCGUCAACCCCAUAAACCUUGCACCAAAUCAUGAAAGGUUGUAAAUAAUGACCCCAAAUCAUCCCUUGUGCCCUGUCACUCUGAGAAUCUUGCUAAUAUCUUCCUAUUUUAUCAUAUGAAUUUGAAAUCUCAAGUUUUCUGACUUACACUUAAAGAUAAAACUUCAAGUCUUCAAGAUCUUCUAGUGCUCCAACAAAAUCAGAGAAUGCAUGGGCAUCUCAUUAUGUUUAUUCGAAAUCAGAGGUCAAAUGCAAUUACCUCUAGAUUUCCGGACUUUGUCCGAUGGUCUUUCUUGCCUGCAAUGGUUGUCUUCCACUCAAGUAAAACUCCUAUGAUUUUCCCUUCUAAUCUUUGGAUUUUCACUGACUUUGCUCGCAUCAUCAAUCUUUUUGUCGCUCUCCACUAUCGAUUUGAAUUUUUUUUUGAACUCUAAGGCUUCAAUGGACACUAUAAAUAGAGCCUUCAAUUCUCUCACCUAACACGACCUACCACCUAAUACAGCAUAGAAAAUAAAAUAGAAUUAAAAAGCCCUAAACUUCUCACUGAUUUUCUUUUCUUUCUCCGGUUCUGAGUUCAUACACUGUCUGGACUUGAGUUUUUGUUUCCUAACGGCUAAAUAAAAGGCUUUGCUUGAUUUGCUGCUCUGCAAAAGGUCGGUGUACACUGACCCUCCCUUUCACUUAAAUUAUGUUUCUUUAUUUAGUGAUUUUGAUGUAUUCUCUUGGGUCAUAAUACAUGUUUGGUAAUUUUUGGAUUGCCUAUUAUAUUCUCUGUCGUUCUUAUUAACAUAAAUGGUUAUCCUCAUGGUAAUCAUGUAUUUCUAGUUAACAUGUGACUUAAUUGGAUAACACCUGCUAUAAUGAAAUUGUAAAAUUUUUUGUUGAACUUUUGUUACUACUUUAAAAGACUUCUGAUGUUCUUUUAACCUUGCCACCAUGCUAACUUGACUAAACCGUGAUCUCAGACCCAUAUAAUGUUUUGCUAGGAACUUAUGUUUGCUAAUUCUGUAUUGCACUAGUUGUAGGGUUUAAUUAUGUUAUACUAUUAUUGAUCCAUGCCAUGCUUAACCUGUAUACCUUGAACGAUAUUUAUUAUGUACACUUAAGGAUCCAAUGUGAGUUUAUUAUUGUAGUCUGAACUCACUAGUUUAGUUGUCAGGCUAUCUGCUUUUCAACUAUGUCAUGUCAUCUUGUGAGUCUUGAAAAACAUCACUGCACAAUGAGCUUGCGUUUCUUUUGUUAGGUCUUGCAUUUAUGUAUAUGCCUAGCUAUACUUAUGAGCAUUCUUAUCUGAAGGAUUAAUGUCUAAGCCACUAUACUUUUAUUUAUUCAUAGAAGAGUAAGUUGAACCUUACGAGUUUUGACAGCUUAACAAAAUGAAGAAUUUGAGGAGAGAAGCUACUGUUUGAACUCAUAGGCUCUAACAAAUUCUUAAUGUAUGUUUCCCCAGUUAAAAUGAAUAUUAUUCUAUGUUAAUUGAUUACCUCUAUUCGUAUAGGGUUAGUUAUGAUUCUGGAUGUUUUGAUUAAGAAUUUAAGGAACUAGUGAUCCUACUACUAUGUUUGUAUCAUACUAAGAUUGACCUUCUUGCCUACAUGUGUAUCACUCCCUAAACUGACCAUACCAAGUUAAACUUUAUCAUGUUUGGGUUGAUGCAUUCACCUGUGUAACUGGACUAGUAAUCUUACUAUUAGUACCUUGCUUACUUCAUGUGAAAUCUCCAUUGUUCUAAACUCUUAUACUGAAUUUGUUGGCUUGACCCUAUGCUCCAUCAUGUUGUAGUUUUACACUCCUUAGGGAUAUAUUUGUAUGAGCUUGAUUGUCUGCACUUGGACUGCUAUGCUAAUUCUGUUAUCAAACACUCUCUGCUUAUCUUUCAUACUCAUGCCUAUGUACUUCAUUGCCCUAUCACAUAAUGAAGAUUGUAUAAGUCAACUAUAAUUCAUUUAUGGAUUUGAGAUAAUCUUCUGAUCAUAUUUGUUUUUCUUGAGUAGGAUGUUAUGCCUUGACUCUUACUGAACCCGGCGAGAAUGUGAUAUCAUGAAUGAUUUAUGGAGAAAGUGAUCGCCUAUUAGAGUUGAAAUCAAUUUGCUAAUUUACAUAAUCAUGUUGAUGCUCUCUAAAGAUCCUAUAUAAAAUUGUUAAUUCAUACACCUAUUAGAAUCCAAGACUUCCAUGUGUUUAAACCCCUGAUCAACUUAAGCCUGGAACUGUUAAGCAUGAGGACCCUCUGUAAAUUUGAACUAUGUACCUAUUCUAUUUCAUAAGUUGUUUGACUCAAUAGUCUGACCUUUCGAAAUGAUCUGCCACUAAUCGUUUCCCUUAAUUAUACGUGUUAUCAUUUUCUUUGGAUGUUCUUCUGUAUAUAGGUGGUUCUUAACAAUGAACUACACACUGGUGUUUAAGUUGUGAUUUCUUUAGUAUUGUCUGUUAUUACAUCUUCAAAAUAACAUUCAACAUAGUUUCUCUUGGAAGUACAGAUGCCUAAGCAUGUGUAUGAUUGUUACAGUUGUACUAAAAUUUGCAUUGAAUGCCUCAUUGGCUUUUAAACCUAUAGGGAAGAGUAAGUGUGAGUGGAUAGGUGUAUUUACGAGUGAGAUUUAGUUUGUAGUUGAGAUACUCUCCUUGACACAUGCACUGCUCGGGGUCAUUGAGACCCUUGUGAAAUUUGAAGUGUCAGGGGCUCAAAGAGUGUCUUGGAUAUAAAUGUAAUCUCAUCUUAAGCCCUUAAUCAUUGACAGUUACUAAUCUCUUUAGGGUUAGUGUUUAAUGAAGAAAAAGGCUUCACUAUAACUUUCCUUACUCUGCCCGAUCAUACACAAGCUUAUUUACAUUUUUAACAACAAAUAUUUGUUAUAGUCUCAUUUGGACCUUAUGUUUGAUCUUAUCUUCCUUUCAACAUUUUGUUGGGUUUUUGUCACUAAUUUCUUCCUUUUUCUCUUGAACAUAUAACUGAACUGGGCCUGCUGAGGUUUCAAAAAUUCAGGCCCAAGUUCCAGCCUUUGAGUUUGAUGUCAUGGGAGCCGUUGCUGCUUGUAUGUUGUUUGCUGGGCCUAACCUUCUUCAGACCCAAAUUAUUGAGUCCAAUUCCCUUUCCUUCCUCAUUAGAAGAAUUAAAUCUGUUAUCUUUUCUUUACAUGAGUAUAAUACAAACAAAAUUGAUUGAAUGUUUUAUUUUUCCUCAAACCUUCAAGGAACCUAGACAAGCCAAGAUCUAUAGGUAAUAAAAGAAAUCACUAUUACAUUACGAUUAGUUAUAAUAUUUUGGCGCUUUGGUCAUUAUUCUUCAUUACAUAAGAUUUCACUUUUCAUUAUACUAACCAUUUUAAUGAAGUUCUUUGAAGUUCAAAACAGAUUUUGAAAAGAAAUGUAAUUCUUCUUCUAAAGCCGGAAUUGAAAAAGAAGAUUUCAAAGUCAGCUCUUUCUAUAAAUAAAAAUCAACUCGAUUGGAA